RNAcentral lists this ribosomal RNA (423 nucleotides) under uncultured bacterium. Its description in RNAcentral is "bacterial SSU rRNA". It matches the Rfam family "Bacterial small subunit ribosomal RNA", at positions 207 to 622 of the family's 1533-position model. The record is from RNAcentral.
AAGACCUUGCGCUUUUGGAGCGGCCGAUGCCUGAUUAGCUUGUUGGUAAGGUAAAAGCUUACCAAGGCUUCGAUCAGUAGCUGGUCUGAGAGGACGGCCAGCCACACUGGGACUGAGACACGGCCCAGACUCCUACGGGAGGCAGCAGUGGGGAAUUUUGGACAAUGGGGGCAACCCUGAUCCAGCCAUGCCGCGUGAGUGAAGAAGGCCUUCGGGUUGUAAAGCUCUUUCAGCCGGAACGAAACGGUUACGGUUAAUACCCGUGAUUACUGACGGUACCGGAAGAAGAAGCACCGGCUAACUACGUGCCAGCAGCCGCGGUAAUACGUAGGGUGCGAGCGUUAAUCGGAAUUACUGGGCGUAAAGCGUGCGCGGGUGGUUUUGUAAGUCAGAUGUGAAAGCCCCGGGCUCAACCUGGGAACU